Lineus longissimus is the source of this 429-nucleotide long non-coding RNA. RefSeq lists it as uncharacterized. NCBI's taxonomy places the organism in Eukaryota, Metazoa, Nemertea, Pilidiophora, Heteronemertea, Lineidae. The record is from RefSeq and is a predicted model, not a curated record. The transcript is spliced from 3 exons.
GAUGUCAGUAUAUCCUCUAAUACGUCAUUGAUGGUGAAGGAUGUUGCAGUCGAUGAUGUGGAUGUGGAAGAAGAUGACAGCUCAGAUGAAGAAGAGGUGGCAGCUGAUAGUGUACAUGAACCAACCGAGAAUGAGAAACAUGCCAGGUGUGGCAAUGACUGAUUUUGCUGAUCUUCGAAAAUGAUCAAUGGAGCUCAAGAUUUUCAUGGGAGCUGGACAAGAGAGAAGGAUCUUUGUCCGCAGGGAUUCAAUUCUAAGUCUCAUGGACUAUCACAGGAAGGAUCGGGACUUGGUUUUUCAUCGUAUUGUAGUGGUGAUAGUGGGAGAGGAGGUAGCUGAAGAUCUAGAUGGUGUCACCAGAGAGAUGUUUACAAUUUUUUUUCGGAAAGUUUUUUCGGAGUUUUUUAUAAGGAGAAAUGAAAAGGUUCC